RNAcentral lists this transfer RNA (89 nucleotides) under Bryobacterales bacterium. RNAcentral describes it as "tRNA-Trp". It matches the Rfam family "tRNA". Rfam says of the family: Transfer RNA (tRNA) molecules are approximately 80 nucleotides in length. Lineage: Bacteria; Pseudomonadati; Acidobacteriota; Terriglobia; Bryobacterales. The record is from RNAcentral.
GCGGACGUGGCGGAAUUGGCAUACGCAACGGUCUCCAAAACCGUGGUCCUAAUAGGGAAUUGGGGGUUCGAACCCCUCCGUCCGCACCA